AACGAACGCUGGCGGCAGGCUUAACACAUGCAAGUCGAGCGCCCCGCAAGGGGAGCGGCAGACGGGUGAGUAACGCGUGGGAAUCUACCCUGAUCUGCGGAAUAGCUCCGGGAAACUGGAAUUAAUACCGCAUGUGCCCUGAGGGGCAAAGAUUUAUCGGUUCAGGAUGAGCCCGCGUCCGAUUAGCUAGUUGGUGGGGUAAUGGCCUACCAAGGCGACGAUCGGUAGCUGGUCUAAGAGGAUGAUCAGCCACAUUGGGACUGAGACACGGCCCAAACUCCUACGGGAGGCAGCAGUGGGGAAUAUUGGACAAUGGGCGCAAGCCUGAUCCAGCCAUGCCGCGUGAGUGAUGAAGGCCCUAGGGUUGUAAAGCUCUUUCAGUGGGGACGGUAAUGACGGUACCCACAGAAGAAGCCCCGGCUAACUUCGUGCCAGCAGCCGCAGUAA
Molecule: ribosomal RNA, 447 nt
Filed under: uncultured bacterium
Lineage: Bacteria
Description: partial 16S ribosomal RNA
Rfam family: Bacterial small subunit ribosomal RNA
Source: RNAcentral